This 1307-nucleotide ribosomal RNA is filed under the name metagenome. RNAcentral describes it as "bacterial LSU rRNA". It matches the Rfam family "Bacterial large subunit ribosomal RNA", at positions 1632 to 2913 of the family's 2925-position model. The record is from RNAcentral.
UUGUUGCCGCCCGUACCCCAAACCGACACUGGUGGUCAGGUAGAGAAUACCAAGGCGAUCGAGCGAAUCCUGGUCAAGGAACUCGGCAAAUCACUCCCGUGCCUUCGGUAUAAGGGAGACCCCUGAUGGUGAUGGAAAUUGCUUCCGGAGCUUUCGGGGGUGGCACAGACCAGGGGGUAGCGACUGUUUACCAAAAACACAGGUGCAUGCGAAGGCGCAAGCCGCUGUAUAUGCACUGACGCCUGCCCGGUGCCGGAAGGUUAAGAGGAUCCGUCAGCCCUCGGGUGAAGCGGUGAAUUCAAGCCCCGGUAAACGGCGGUGGUAACUAUAACCAUCCUAAGGUAGCGAAAUUCCUUGUCGGGUAAGUUCCGACCUGCACGAAUGGCGUAACGACUUCCCCACUGUCUCGACCAGGAGCUCGGCGAAAUUGCAGUACGAGUAAAGAUGCUCGUUAAGCGCAGAAGGACGAAAAGACCCCGGGACCUUUACUAUACCUUGGUAUUGGCGUUAGGCGCGGAUUGUGUAGCAUAGGCGGGAGGCUUCGAAGCGCGGGCGCCAGCCCGUGUGGAGCCGCAAGGUGAAAUACCGCUCUGUUCUCGUUUGACGUCUCACCUCGAACAGUCAUCCUGUUCAGGGACAGUGCCUGGCGGGUAGUUUAACUGGGGCGGUUGCCUCCCAAAGAGUAACGGAGGCGCUCAAAGGUCCGCUCAGCCCGGUUGGCAAUCGGGUUUCGAGUGUAAUCGCACAAGCGGGCUUGACUGCGAGAACGACGGUUCGGGCAGGGACGAAAGUCGGAGAUAGUGAUCCGGUGCCGGCGCACGGGCGCGGCAUCGCUCAACGGAUAAAAGGUACCCCGGGGAUAACAGGCUGAUCAUUCCCAAGAGUCCAUAUCGACGGGAUGGUUUGGCACCUCGAUGUCGGCUCGUCGCAUCCUGGGGCUGGAGCAGGUCCCAAGGGUUCGGCUGUUCGCCGAUUAAAGCGGCACGCGAGCUGGGUUCAGAACGUCGUGAGACAGUUUGGUCUCUAUCCUCUGCGCUCGUUGGAAUCCUGAGGAGGCCUGCCCAUAGUACGAGAGGACCUGGGUGGACGGACCUCUGGUAUGCCGGUUGUCGCGCCAGCGGCAUGGCCGGUCGGCUACGUUCGGGAGGGAUAACCGCUGAAAGCAUCUAAGCGGGAAGCCUGCUCCAAGAUUAGGAUUCCUUGACGCUCCUCGGAGCGUUUGUAGCCCGCAUGUUGAACACGUGUUCGAUAGGCCGGAGGUGGAAGUCCGCGAGGGAUGGAGCCGACCGGUACUAACGGGCGAACGC